GCGGGAGUGGCGGAACUGGCAGACGCACCAGAUUUAGGUUCUGGCGGGUAACACCGUGGGGGUUCAAGUCCCUUCUCCCGCACCA
Molecule: transfer RNA, 85 nt
Filed under: Peptococcaceae bacterium
Lineage: Bacteria; Bacillati; Bacillota; Clostridia; Eubacteriales; Peptococcaceae
Description: tRNA-Leu
Rfam family: tRNA
About the family: Transfer RNA (tRNA) molecules are approximately 80 nucleotides in length.
Source: RNAcentral